AUCGGGCAGAUGAUGAAUCUUGUGUUUUAAUGGGUAAUUUGCAUCUGAAUUUCGUUGAUGCUUCAACACCUUGAACACUGAUGCCCUUC
Molecule: non-coding RNA, 89 nt
Organism: Populus trichocarpa (black cottonwood)
Lineage: Eukaryota; Viridiplantae; Streptophyta; Magnoliopsida; Malpighiales; Salicaceae
Source: Rfam